GGGUUUGCAUCGGGCCGACCGGUCCCCUAUAUAGGGAGUGCCCGCAAGGGCUAUGGCGAUAAACUGUCAUUGUAAUAAACCCAUCGGACCCGGGGGCAGUACCCGGCGUCUCCACCAUCUCCUCCCGCCAAGGGGGAGCCACUGGGGGACGAAACAGGAUCGACGAGGGCGUAAAGAGUGUGCUUUCGCUCGGCAUUGUACCGCCGUUAUCGGGCUAAAACUUAUAGUUGCCAAUGACAACCAUAAGGCUCCGGUCGCUCUCGCCGCCUAAGCGGUGCUAGCACUGGGAAUUAAAGUCCUCCGCUCCUAGCCGGGCGUCAGGCGGGGUUCGCAGGCACCUGGCAACAGAAGCCUGCACU
This 359-nucleotide transfer-messenger RNA is filed under the name Devosia sediminis. It matches the Rfam family "Alphaproteobacteria transfer-messenger RNA". From Rfam's summary of the family: Bacterial tmRNA, also known as 10Sa RNA or SsrA, is named for its dual tRNA and mRNA-like properties. The record is from RNAcentral. Lineage: Bacteria; Pseudomonadati; Pseudomonadota; Alphaproteobacteria; Hyphomicrobiales; Devosiaceae.